CGUGGGGGCAGCUACACAUGCAGUCGAACGGUAGCACAGAGGAGCUUGCUCCUUGGGUGACGAGUGGCGGACGGGUGAGUAAUGUCUGGGAAACUGCCCGAUGGAGGGGGAUAACUACUGGAAACGGUAGCUAAUACCGCAUAACGUCGCAAGACCAAAGAGGGGGACCUUCGGGCCCUCUUGCCAUCGGAUGUGCCCAGAUGGGAUUAGCUAGUAGGUGGGGUAACGGCUCACCUAGGCGACGAUCCCUAGCUGGUCUGAGAGGAUGACCAGCCCACACUGGAACUGAGACACGGUCCAGACUCCUACGGGAGGCAGCAGUGGGGAAUAUUGCACAAUGGGCGCAAGCCUGAUGCAGCCAUGCCGCGUGUAUGAAGAAGGCCUUCGGGUUGUAAAGUACUUUCAGCGAGGAGGAAGGUGUUGUGGUUAAUAACCGCAGCAAUUGACGUUACUCGCAGAAGAAGCACCGGCUAACUCCGUGCCAGCAGCCCGCGGUAAUACGGAGGGUGCAAGCGUUAAUCGGAAUUACUGGGCGUAAAGCGCACGCAGGCGGUCUGUCAAGUCGGAUGUGAAAUCCCCGGGCUCAACCUGGGAACUGCAUCCGAAACUGGCAGGCUAGAGUCUUGUAGAGGGGGGUAGAAUUCCAGGUGUAGCGGUGAAAUGCGUAGAGAUCUGGAGGAAUACCGGUGGCGAAGGCGGCCCCCUGGACAAAGACUGACGCUCAGGUGCGAAAGCGUGGGGAGCAAACAGGAUUAGAUACCCUGGUAGUCCACGCCGUAAACGAUGUCGACUUGGAGGUUGUGCCCUUGAGGCGUGGCUUCCGGAGCUAACGCGUUAAGUCGACCGCCUGGGGAGUACGGCCGCAAGGUUAAAACUCAAAUGAAUUGACGGGGGCCCGCACAAGCGGUGGAGCAUGUGGUUUAAUUCGAUGCAACGCGAAGAACCUUACCUACUCUUGACAUCCAGAGAACUUAACAAAGAUGCUUUGGUGCCUUCGGGAACCCUGAAACAGGGGCUGCAUGGUCGCCAUCCACCAG
Molecule: ribosomal RNA, 1037 nt
Filed under: Citrobacter freundii
Lineage: Bacteria; Pseudomonadati; Pseudomonadota; Gammaproteobacteria; Enterobacterales; Enterobacteriaceae
Description: bacterial SSU rRNA
Rfam family: Bacterial small subunit ribosomal RNA
Source: RNAcentral